AUACUGUGGGUAAGGUGACACCAAUCUUGAAUAGUACUUAUAGUUUCUUAGGUCCUUUUCUAAUAAUGUGUUUGGAUGGAAAAUAUAGAAGGCGGUGAUGUUCAGUAGAACGAGAAGAAAAGGAAGGCAGACAUUCUACAAUAUGAUGUUUGACAAUCUCGUUUGGAUCCCUGAAAAGACAGUGGGAAACUCAUUAACCUAGCAUUGAACUCGCCAUGGCACACUCAUUUACUUCAUCAUAUAUGAUUGAUGCGUGGAAGGGGGCGAUAUAGAUUUGAACCCAUGAAACUGAAGACUGGCAACUUUAUGCAUCAUCAUUCUAGUGGUUGAGCCAGUUCACGUCUUUCUCUAAAUAUCCGAAUACAACAGCAUUUUAGCUAUGUACUGAAAGAUCUGAUAGUUUUCUAUCUCAACUAGUAAUAACAUUAUAUUGAAAGCUGUGAAAUAAUUAUUUCGAACAACAUCAACAAACUAUACCUUUUUCGAAUUAUAAUAAUAAUAAUAAUAAUAAAAUGGGUAGAAAAGGUGGAUACUCUUAGACACUCCAUUUAGCCCAUCAUUAUAACUGUUUGAAAAUCUAAUGCAAUCAGAAUCUUCUCAACCACUAGAGAGACCAUGUUAAUUUUUGUCGACCUAUUCCUCUUCUAACUAGUUUUAUUGGGAUCUUAUCACUCUUGCGAACACUUAAGCCGUGUUUCCCAUAAUUUAUCCUCAACCAUUACCACUCCACCUGUACAUGUAUAUCUCACUUCUUAUAUUAUCCAUUCUAGUACAACCCUACAUCCAUCUUAACAUUAUCACUCCUGCUACGUAUUUAUUGACAUCUUGUCCUUUAAAGGCUCAACAUAUAGUACUAUAAAAUGCAGCAUAUCUAAUAAUUGUUUUGUAGAACUUGCUUUUUGAUCUUAUAAUAAUGUUUCGAUCUAAUAUAAUCUUUUACAUCACUUUGCCAUUUCAUUGUUUUCCAGUCCUUGUCAAUGAAUCUAAAUACCUAUAGUUAAUCUACCUUUAAGACAACAUGAUCCUCUAUACUGACUUCUUGAUAAUCCCUAUUCCUACUACCAUGAAACAAUUAUUUCGAACUUAAAAAUAUCGUGAGAUUUAAUCAGUGUAUAUGAAGACACAUAAGAUAAUUGUUUAAUAUUAGAAUAUAGAUGCUCCAGAGAUUAAAUUUUGGAUUGUUGCCAGUCUCACUACCUGGAGUUAAGUCCACUCUCUCCAACACUUUGAAUUGUGACUAACAGUCUACCGAUCAGAGAUGUAAAUUCCUUUUAAUUGUAUGAUUUGUAUAUGUUUUCAUGGUCUACCUAUCAGAGAUGUAAAUUCCUUGUAAUUGUA
This 1338-nucleotide long non-coding RNA is filed under the name Olea europaea (common olive). Its description in RNAcentral is "long non-coding RNA (OEUR_LNC012545)". The record is from RNAcentral. Lineage: Eukaryota; Viridiplantae; Streptophyta; Magnoliopsida; Lamiales; Oleaceae.